Molecule: long non-coding RNA, 440 nt
Organism: Zonotrichia leucophrys gambelii
Lineage: Eukaryota; Metazoa; Chordata; Aves; Passeriformes; Passerellidae
Exons: 3
Source: RefSeq, a predicted model, not a curated record
GUUAAGUGCUUAGAGGAGAUGCCCAUGAGAAACACUGAGGAGGUAUGGAACUCGGGCAAUAGGGAAUCCUUGCACCAUAAUGAUACUAGAGCUCUUGAUAUAUAAGACUACAUGGGAGGUGAAAUAGGAGCUGUUCCAGGAACAAGGCUCUUCAUGAAAUAGGGUGUAAUACGAUACCUCAAAAGAAUUCAUUCUGUGAUCAAAACACCAAGGAAAAAGAAUGCUGUGCUAAGGCAUUUCCAAAAGGACCAGGAUUUAAACUUUUCUGGAGGUAAAUGCAAGUGUUGGGGAAGUUGGGACAAUUAUCCAAGAAUCUGAUUAUUGAUAUUUGCUGGCUGUCAGAGAAACUGUUUUAACCCCUGAGAGUAGAGAGGUGAGCUUAUUCAAAGCCUGACUAGCACCUCGUACUUUUAAGGCAAGUAGGGUAUAUCUAACAAGUA